GGGCCCGCACAAGCGGUGGAGCAUGUGGUUUAAUUCGAUGCAACGCGAAAAACCUUACCUACCCUUGACAUCAUCAGAACUUGUUAGAGAUAACUCGGUGCCUUUUGGAACUGAUUGACAGGUGCUGCAUGGCUGUCGUCAGCUCGUGUCGUGAGAUGUUGGGUUAAGUCCCGUAACGAGCGCAACCCUUAUCCUUAGUUGCCAGCAUGUAAAGAUGGGAACUCUAAGGAGACUGCCGGUGACAAACCGGAGGAAGGCGGGGACGACGUCAAGUCAUCAUGGCCCUUACGGGUAGGGCUACACACGUGCUACAAUGGCAGGUACAGAGGGUCGCGAAGCGGUGACGUGGAGCUAAUCUCAGAAAGCCUGUCGUAGUCCGGAUUGCAGUCUGCAACUCGACUGCAUGAAGUCGGAAUCGCUAGUAA
This 425-nucleotide ribosomal RNA is filed under the name uncultured bacterium. Its description in RNAcentral is "bacterial SSU rRNA". It matches the Rfam family "Bacterial small subunit ribosomal RNA", at positions 917 to 1341 of the family's 1533-position model. The record is from RNAcentral.